RNAcentral lists this ribosomal RNA (371 nucleotides) under uncultured bacterium. RNAcentral describes it as "bacterial SSU rRNA". It matches the Rfam family "Bacterial small subunit ribosomal RNA", at positions 30 to 402 of the family's 1533-position model. The record is from RNAcentral.
AUUGAACGCUGGCGGCAUGCCUUACACAUGCAAGUCGAACGGCAGCACGGGAGCAAUCCUGGUGGCGAGUGGCGAACGGGUGAGUAAUAUAUCGGAACGUGCCCAGUCGUGGGGAUAACGUAGCGAAAGCUACGCUAAUACCGCAUACGAUCUAUGGAUGAAAGCGGGGGAUCGCAAGACCUCGCGCGAUUGGAGCGGCCGAUAUCAGAUUAGGUAGUUGGUGAGGUAAAGGCUCACCAAGCCGACGAUCUGUAGCUGGUCUGAGAGGACGACCAGCCACACUGGGACUGAGACACGGCCCAGACUCCCUACGGGAGGCAGCAGUGGGGAAUUUUGGACAAUGGCGCAAGCCUGAUCCAGCAAUGCCGCGU